RNAcentral lists this long non-coding RNA (1549 nucleotides) under Helianthus annuus (common sunflower). Its description in RNAcentral is "hypothetical non coding rna". The record is from RNAcentral. Lineage: Eukaryota; Viridiplantae; Streptophyta; Magnoliopsida; Asterales; Asteraceae.
UCUCAAUUUACAACACAUUGUCUUACCCAACAAAACUGCUUAAAUCAGUAUCCAAACAAGAUUUUACAUAUCACAAGCUUGAUCAAAAAAGAAUAUGCUUAAAAACCAAAAAACUAUGAUGGGUGACAAAUAACAGCUUUACAGUGGGAUUCACUGUCUAUAAUCCACAACCCUAAACUUUCAAGCCUGUUUUGUACCAAACCCGAACCCGCAUCCGAAGACCAAAACACAACCUUUGUGUCAUUCUUUAACACGAUUCCAUUAUCAUCACCGGCGUUAAUCUCAACGCUAAACCCUAGACCCUCGUCAAACCUCUCUAACUUAACACCUUUCCUCUCCAAUAACUUUCCCGCGAUAAACCCAAAACCGCCCCCGUCUUUACUCAUCGUGGGGUCCGCCGUUUGUGCAAUCUCGUUCACAAAGCGAUUGUUCCAGAUCCCGGAUCCUGUACUCCUGGCAAACAGAAGUCCAAGUCUACUCCCGACGUAAAAGUCAACGGUGGGAUCAAGUUUGACCGAGUCAAGAAAAAAGUCAGCCUUGACCGGAACCAUGUCGUGAUCCAACACCCACGUGUCAUACUUCAUUUCCAACGCUUUUUUUACCACUAACGCCUUCACGAUAUUCUCCUUGCUUAAUUUACUCGAUUUGUAUUCCUUCAACGUGUCGAAAAACGCAUCCACGUUAACCACUGUAUGCCCACGUCUUGCAAGAUCAAGCAAGAAAUCAGAAUCGGGACCCACAAAGAUAUAGUUCCAAACAUUAAGCCUCGCAAAAUGACACAAUAAGUUUCGGGUUAACAUCUUUGACGUCUGAUCUACGCUCACAACCACUAAAGCAUUCGCCUUUUGGACCGAUUUCAAAACAGGCUCGAGUUCAUCAACGUUUGUCACAAUCCUAUCGGGAAUUACUUCUCGAAAACAGAAAUCAUACCAUUUAAGAUUUCUUAGAGGCUCCAAUUUGAAAACGCUGCUCUCACGAGAACUCUCCUGAAUCAGAUUCGAAUCGGGCCCUGCUGUUUUCCCGUAGUUAACCCCCGUGUCUCUAUGAGAGACACUGAGCGCUGACUCGUUUAAGAAAUUCGUGUAAAUGUUGAAAUACCCUCGCGCGUGUAUAAAUUUAAUAAACCACGGCGUCCAUAUCCUGUCCCCCAUCUUUUUGUACCAACCCGUUGUCACCUACACAUCAAAAUAAAAAUUAACAAAAUGAUAAAAACAUACAGAGAAGAUGAAGAGAGCUGAGAGAGAGACAAUGAGGAAGAUGGGGUAAAAGUAAAACCCUCUCUUUGGUGCCAUUUUGAGAUUUAUAACUUCAUGUAGAACAAAUCGAUUUGUGAACAAAUCGUCACUGUUUGAACAAUAUAAACCCUAAAGAUUUGAACUUAGAAUUGAAAUCUGAAGAAGAAAAAGAACAGAGAAGGAGAGUGUAACCUCGAUCCAAUCAGUGGCUUCUGCAAGUAGCAAUGAUUUGUUGUAUGGAAGUUCAAAUCUUGAAUCUUGAUUAUUGCAGCUUUUUCCAGGGUUUGGAGUUUAUUUCUUCGUCUUCAAUGAGG